AGAGUUUGAUCAUGGCUCAGAAUCAACGCUGGCGGCGUGCCUAACACAUGCAAGUCGAACGCGGUUAUUCAGCAAUGGAUAACUGAGUGGCGAACGGGUGAGUAACACGUGGGUGACCUACCUUCGAGUGGGGGAUAACGUCCCGAAAGGGACGCUAAUACCGCAUAACAUCCUGCCUUUGAACAGGCGGUGAUCAAAGCCGGGGACCGUAAGGCCCGGCGCUUGAUGAGGGGCCCGCGUCUGAUUAGCUAGUUGGUGAGGUAACGGCCCACCAAGGCGACGAUCAGUAUCCGGCCUGAGAGGGCGGACGGACACACUGGGACUGAGACACGGCCCAGACUCCUACGGGAGGCAGCAGUGGGGAAUUGUUCACAAUGGGCGCAAGCCUGAUGACGCAACGCCGCGUGGAGGAUGAAGGUCUUCGGAUUGUAAACUCCUGUUGCCCGGGACGAAAAGCUCUGACCUAACACGUCGGAGUCUGACGGUACCGGGUGAGGAAGCCCCGGCUAACUCUGUGCCAGCAGCGGCGGUAAUAC
This 536-nucleotide ribosomal RNA is filed under the name uncultured bacterium. Its description in RNAcentral is "bacterial SSU rRNA". It matches the Rfam family "Bacterial small subunit ribosomal RNA", at positions 8 to 526 of the family's 1533-position model. The record is from RNAcentral.